AACGAACGCUGGCGGCAGGCCUAACACAUGCAAGUCGAGCGGACCCUUCGGGGUUAGCGGCGGACGGGUGAGUAACGCGUGGGAACGUGCCCUUUGCUUCGGAAUAGCCCUGGGAAACUGGGAGUAAUACCGGAUACGCCCUUUUGGGGAAAGAUUUAUCGGCGAAGGAUCGGCCCGCGUUGGAUUAGGUAGUUGGUGGGGUAAUGGCCUACCAAGCAGACGAUGCAUAGCUGGGUUGAGAGGAUGAUCAGCCACACUGGGACUGAGACCCGGACCAGACUGGUACGGAAGGCAGGAGUAGAGAAUCCUAGGCAAGGGAGGAAGCCGUAAUCUAGCCGUGCCGCGUGAGAGAUGCAGGCCUUAGGAUUGUAAAGCUCUUUGACCGGGGAAGAUAAUGACGGUACCCGGAGAAGAAGCCCCGGCUAACUCCGUG
RNAcentral lists this ribosomal RNA (433 nucleotides) under uncultured bacterium. RNAcentral's name for it is "partial 16S ribosomal RNA". It matches the Rfam family "Bacterial small subunit ribosomal RNA", at positions 29 to 507 of the family's 1533-position model. The record is from RNAcentral.